UGGAGAAAAGCAGGGGAUCGCAAGACCUUGUGCUUUUAGAGCGGCCGAUGCCUGAUUAGCUUGUUGGUGAGGUAAAAGCUUACCAAGGCUUCGAUCAGUAGCUGGUCUGAGAGGACGGCCAGCCACACUGGGACUGAGACACGGCCCAGACUCCUACGGGAGGCAGCAGUGGGGAAUUUUGGACAAUGGGGGCAACCCUGAUCCAGCCAUGCCGCGUGAGUGAAGAAGGCCUUCGGGUUGUAAAGCUCUUUCAGCCGGAACGAAACGGUUACGGUUAAUACCCGUAACUACUGACGGUACCGGAAGAAGAAGCACCGGCUAACUACGUGCCAGCAGCCGCGGUAAUACGUAGGGUGCGAGCGUUAAUCGGAAUUACUGGGCGUAAAGCGUGCGCAGGUGGUUUUGUAAGUCAGAUGUGA
RNAcentral lists this ribosomal RNA (419 nucleotides) under uncultured ammonia-oxidizing beta proteobacterium. RNAcentral's name for it is "bacterial SSU rRNA". It matches the Rfam family "Bacterial small subunit ribosomal RNA", at positions 197 to 597 of the family's 1533-position model. The record is from RNAcentral. Lineage: Bacteria; Pseudomonadati; Pseudomonadota; Betaproteobacteria.